CCUACGGGAGGCAGCAGUGAGGAAUAUUGGUCAAUGGACGAGAGUCUGAACCAGCCAAGUAGCGUGAAGGAUGACUGCCCUAUGGGUUGUAAACUUCUUUUAUAAAGGAAUAAAACGAGGCACGUGUGCCUUUUUGCAUGUACUUUAUGAAUAAGGAUCGGCUAACUCCGUGCCAGCAGCCGCGGUAAUACGGAGGAACCGAGCGUUAUCCGGAUUUGUUGGGUUUAAAGGGAGCGUAGAUGGGUUGUUAAGUCAGUUGUGAAAGUUUGCGGCUCAACCGUAAAAUUGCAAUUGAUACUGGCAGUCUUGAGUACAGUUGAGGUAGGCGGAAUUCGUGGUGUAGCGGUGAAAUGCUUAGAUAUCACGAAGAACCCCGAUUGCGAAGGCAGCUUACUAAACUGUGACUGACAUUGAUGCUCGAAAGUGUGGGUAUCAAACAGGAUUAGAUACCCGGGUAGUC
This 460-nucleotide ribosomal RNA is filed under the name uncultured bacterium. Its description in RNAcentral is "partial 16S ribosomal RNA". It matches the Rfam family "Bacterial small subunit ribosomal RNA", at positions 338 to 795 of the family's 1533-position model. The record is from RNAcentral.